AGAGUUGAUCCUGGCUAGGACGAACGCUGGCGGCGUGCUUCAUACAUGCAAGUCGAACGAGAAGCUCACUCGGUGAGUGGAAAGUGGCGGACGGGUGAGUAAAAUGUAGAGAAUCUGCCCUAGAGAGUGGGACAACAGAGGGAAACUUCUGCUAAUACCGCAUAUGCGCGUAGCUGAGAUGCUAUUCGUGAAAACUCCGGUGCUCUGGGAUGAGUCUGCAUCUGAUUAGCUAGUUGGCGGUGUAAUGGACCACCAAGGCGACGAUCAGUAGCUGGUUUGAGAGGAUGAUCAGCCACAAUGGGACUGAGACACGGCCCAUACUCCUACGGGAGGCAGCAGUAGGGAAUUUUGCGCAAUGGGCGAAAGCCUGACGCAGCAACGCCGCGUGACCGAUGAAGCCCUUCGGGGUGUAAAGGUCUGUCAGUGGGGGCGAAACUUGACGGUACCCACAGAGGAAGCAUCGGCUAACUCCGUGCCAGCCGCGGC
Molecule: ribosomal RNA, 486 nt
Filed under: uncultured bacterium
Lineage: Bacteria
Description: bacterial SSU rRNA
Rfam family: Bacterial small subunit ribosomal RNA
Source: RNAcentral